RNAcentral lists this long non-coding RNA (5998 nucleotides) under Brassica napus (rape). RNAcentral's name for it is "long non-coding RNA (BNAP_LNC011580)". The record is from RNAcentral. Lineage: Eukaryota; Viridiplantae; Streptophyta; Magnoliopsida; Brassicales; Brassicaceae.
AAUAACUUAGGUUCAGAAGCUAUGUAGCUAAUCAAGCUUCAACAUUAAGAACACCAAUAGAUGAAGAACCGUAAGAUAAAUCUCUAGAUCUAGCAAUCCUAGGUCAACAACUCAUGAGAUCCCCUUGUGAGAAACCCUAAACCCAACUAAAAGACUACUCACUAAUCUUCAUGGAAAUCCUUAAGCACAUGUUAAGAUCAAGGAUAAACAUGAUUUAGAAAGAUAAUCUAAAAUAAACAGAAGCAGAUCUGAUAAACUAAGAACUGAAACAAGUGUAGAGAGAAGUCUGCAAAGAUAGACAAAAGGACAAGAUAAAAGCAGAUGUUCCUAGGGUUUUCCCCUUUACACAUAUAUAUAGUCCUAAGAAAGUAAGUCAAAAGCCAAAGCUAAACGCCAAACGCUAUUUUUCGCGAUCUGAGGUGUGACCGCAUUUUGGAAACGCGCGUUUGCGUUAGGUCUUCAUCUUCUUUGUUUCUGCAUCUCGCGUAGAUUCCAUCUCCGCUGUACCAGCCUCGCCGUUCCUCGCUGUCGUCUCUUCUCUCGCCACCGGAGUCGUCACGAACCGUCUGCGUCUUCUUCUUCUUUGCGCUGCAACAGAGGAGACGUCGACGUCGAACCGAGCACGUGGAAUCGAGAGCGCCACAUCGAGAAGUCUGGAUCGAGCACAUUGCUCGCUUAGGGCUUUACGAUUCAUGGUCUUCGCGCUGGGCUUCGAGGGUUCUGGAUCGAGCAAUACAGAUCGAGUCUAUCGAUCGCUUGGAAUUCAUGAGCUGAGGCCUUAGCCGAGACGACCGGAUCGAACUCGACGAAGCAGAGCCAGCAACCACUUCGUCUUCCUCGUUUCUCAAAAGCCACUUUUCUUUAUUUGCACGUUUGGUCCCUUGCUUUUUAUUCCUCUUUGAUUUUGACCCCGUAACUUUCAAAUGUGCAGAUUAAACCUCUGUUUUUGCUCCAAAACUCCUAAUCCUGCACUCCAGCCCCUGUAACCUGAAUAAACUCUAAAGAACACAGAAAGACUCCAAAAUGACCAGAAUACAUAAUAAAAACCAAUCAAACUUAGCCAGAAAUCAAUAUAAAAACCGAUAAAUAUGAGACUCAUCAAAUCCCCCAGACUUGAAUCUUUGCUUCCUCAAGUAAAGGAAGCAAAAACUAAACCAAAGGGAAAAAAUGUUUGAAAAUAUGGGAACUAGCAUUUUCUCUAGACAACCGCCUUUACCAUUACCUGUUGUAAGCCACAUCAAAAAGUACCAUCCUUAAGAGAUACUUCCAUGUACUUGACCUUCAGCUUAGCAACCAUACCACUUUCAACCCACAGCUUGGAGUGACCCAAAUUCACCAUCACUGACUUCUUAUUAGGAACUGAAAUGUGCAGUCUCAUCGAGGGAGUAUCGAUCAAUAGAUACAUGGAGCCUUUUUCGUUCAGGUUUCACACUUCCGGUUUCUUUUCUCUCUCUUUUCUCACUUCCCUCAGUCGAUUUCGCCCAAUUUUAUAGGGUAUCAUUUUAUUUUUUCUAUCGACUGAGUUUAUUGGACAGGCAUCCAUGAGAUGCGAGUACUGAUGGGAUUCACCACCAGGUUCCCGAUUCACUUCUUUUUGACCUUUAUCCUCUGGUUUUUUUUUUUGAAGGGAAGAGAGAGGGAAACCGUACUCACAUUCUUUUCAGUACUGAACGAGGAUUCCGAUCCAAUGUAUACCAAGCCCCAAGACAAGAGAAUUAAAUAGAUUAGGUGAAGUCAGCUCUGGAUCCUUCAGAUAACCAAACAAGCAUGGGUGGCACUGGCAGAUCGAUCCACUUGGGCGUUUUCAUGUUGUAAAAUCUGCAGUGAGUGGCUAAAAGAAUGGUCACUAAGGCGUUAGUUAGACGGUUAGUUCUGAAGAAAAUAGUAGUUCCUGGAAAAAAAAAUAAAUAAAAAAUUUGACUCGAUAAAUUGGAACAAAAUAUAUAUAUUUUUAGAAGAAACACUCAUAAACACCAAAAAGAGAGAGUGUUAGUAACAUCCUCCCCCGGACUUACUUCACACCGUCUCGGUGUGAAAGCAAAUCCAAAGGAGGAGCGAGAAAGAAAAUAAAAAUCCUAAAAGAAGAGAGAAGAAAAAUCUUACCGGUGGUUGCCUCCCACCAAGCGCUUGUUUAUAGUCAUGAGCCUGACUUUUGGGGUUCGGUUUCAGUCCAGGUGAGCAUGAGAGCUUGCUCCAAAACAAGUCCCACCAUCAAACACUUUGAGCUUCAGCACCUUGCUCACAAAACCUUUCACAGUUUCCAUACCUUUCUCUUUCAUCUCGGGAGUGAGAACAGCUCUGACUUUCAAAAAAGGCUUUGAGGUUCCUUUGCAUUUCACCUCAUAAUCGAUUAUACCAUUAGAACAGCUGUGAGGUAUCAACAUCAGAUGAGGAUCGCCCUUGAUCCUUUUGCCUUUCAGCUUUUUCUUUGCUUUUGCAUCAGACUUCUUAUGCAUGGUGUGAUUGUCUUUAUUCAGAGCUUCUUUGACUUGACCUUUUUCCACGAGGUCAUCUUUAGAAAUAGGUACAUGAGUGCUCUGAUCAAGUACAGAGAUGCUAGAGGCCAGUCGUGUACACUUAUUUGUGGGCUCGGCUCUGUAGAAGACAUUCUCAUCGAUUUUCACAAAAGAGAUUCUCUUGUUAGGCAUAUUCGUAACUGCACCCACCGUGGCUAAGAACACUCUUCCAAGAAUCAACGGUCUAUUAGAACCAUUGCUCAUCUCCACUACCUGAAAAUCAGUAGGAACAACGCAGUUUCCCACUUGGACAACUAGGUCUUUAACGGUACCUUGCGGAGACUUGGUAGAGGAGUCUGAAAAUUCCACAGUUAGCUUUGGUGAUUCUAUUUUAAGGCCCAACCUCUCAGCGAUGUCUUUAGACAUGAGGCUAACUGUAGACCCAGUAUCACAGAGAGAAUCCAUGAACUUGACUCCUGAUAUUGAACACAGAACCACGAACUUCCCAAGGUCUUCUAACUUGGGGAGAGUCUUUAUCGGAGAUGAUGCAUUCAUGGUUUUGAUGAAUAAUUCCUUGAUCUCCUCCGCUGAUUCUCUGGUGUUUAUGAAAAACCGGUUCAGAUGGUACAAGCUCCAAGCAUCUUCAAAUGACAUGGUAGAAGGGAUCCUUUUCAUUAUUUUCUAGUGUCUUCUCGUUGAUAGGCUCUCUCAAAUGUUGUGGCACAACAAGGUACGGGAUUCUUGGUACAUACACUCGCUCAGAUGAAGUAGAAGCAUGACUUUUCACACUGCUCUCGGGCUCGACAGACUUAGGCAGGGGAUUGAUCGUUCCAUUCUCAACAAACUUCUUUUCAGUUUCAUCUUCAGAUUCUUCAGCCUCCUCAUCCUCUCUGGCCGAGACAGCAUUGCAAUGAGCUUUAGGAUUCACCUCUGGUUUGCCUGGUAGGGUACCCGGUGGUGCUCUACUCGCUGAUGAAGCUUGAGCAACUUGUGUCUCUAUAACUUUCAUGUGGGUGUUCAAAGCUUCGAAUUUCCCAUUCAAAUCUCCGUACAUGUUGUCGACCUUGCUGUUGAUUUCUGAAGUGCUUCUCUUCUGUUCUUCUAGCACCAUUUGUAACAUCUGCUUGAUUUCACUGUCUUGAGAGGACUGAGAGGUAGAUGCAUUUCCAUGAGCCUGGAAGUUUCCGUACUGCUGCUUCUGCUGAAAACCGUUGUUGCCAGAGUUGUUCCCUUGGAAUUGGUUUCUGUUCUGAUACCCUUGAUUGAAAACACUCUGAUUCUGCGCUAAGGGUCUGCUCUGGGAUUGACUCUGUUUGUUACCUUGUUGAGGGUAGAAUUGAUCUUGUGGAUUUUCCACAUUGUUGUUCCGGUAAGAUAGCAAAUGCUGCUGGUUCCUGAAAAUUUGAUUUAAGCCUUGGUUGUAAUUUCCUUGACCACCAAUGUAGUUAACAUCAGCUUGAAAUUUAUUUGAGUUGUCACCAGUGGACUCUAGCUGGAUCUGAUCACUCUAAUCUCCCACAAAAUGAACUGCUUUCUGAUCUCUCUUCAGCAACAUCUCAAUCUUGGCACUCAGCUCAUCGAUCUUCUGAGAAUCAGAGCUUGAAUUCAGUUGUCGCUUGUUGGUCGUGAGAAAGUGUCGAUCGAUACCAAUUAUGGAUUGUUGAUCGAUACACCUUUCAGCCUGUCGAUCGAUGUAACUACUAAGUUGUCGAUCAACGUUCCUUCCAGCAAGCUUUAACGCACAUGUUUGACUUGCUCACUAGGUUAAACUAAAUCAGUUGUCGCUUGUUUCUAGCAAUCCUAGCACAAUGUAAACUAGAUCAGACAAAGGACCAUGCUUCCGCUUGCACCCCAAUAUCUAUGGACAAGGUCCUAGUUAGCUACUAUAGAACACAUGUAUUAAAGAACAGGUCAAUUGAUUGAUAUCCUAACACUUAGCAAUUUUAUAUUUUAGGCUACUCACUCAUGAAUAUCGGAACCCUAAAUCUAACAAAGAGAACUACUCAGACUGAGCUAAGAAAUUUGAUAUCUCAGGUUUUAACCCGAAACAAUAACUGCAAGUGCACAGUAAAGUACGCAGUAGUAAUACGGGAUCGAAUCCACAAGGACCAAAGUUCACAAGAAGAGCUAAAGAUAAAUUACUAGCUAAGGCUGAGAAGAGAUUUUUGUUUGGUUUUGCAAUAACUAAGAACAGUAAAUAAAAGUAAGCUAGCUAGAUAAAUAGAGAAACGAAGAUGAAAGACUAUCAGAAAAAGCGCUGGGAAUAGGGUAUUCUCGGGAAAUCAUUUCGUUGCUGACAAACGGAUAAACGACUAGAGAAAGAAGUUAAGAAACGUCGUGAACUCAAACACGAUAAUAGAAUUAACCUACUGUCGUAGCGCUAACUCUCUAAGUUAUAGAAUCCUCCGCACUAACUGUCGUUGAGUUUCAGAUUCUAAACAAGCAGUAAGAUCAGGUUUUAUAUGUUCACUAAGCGGAAUAACAUCAACUGUCGUUGGCUAAGGACACUUUGGCUCAUCUAAAGUUGUUUCAAGCAUUUCAUCAAGCACCUGUCGGACGUGAAAUAACUUAGGUUCAGAAGCUAUGUAGCUAAUCAAGCUUCAACAUUAAGAACACCAAUAGAUGAAGAACCGUAAGAUAAAUCUCUAGAUCUAGCAAUCCUAGGUCAACAACUCAUGAGAUCCCCUUGUGAGAAACCCUAAACCCAACUAAAAGACUACUCACUAAUCUUCAUGGAAAUCCUUAAGCACAUGUUAAGAUCAAGGAUAAACAUGAUUUAGAAAGAUAAUCUAAAAUAAACAGAAGCAGAUCUGAUAAACUAAGAACUGAAACAAGUGUAGAGAGAAGUCUGCAAAGAUAGACAAAAGGACAAGAUAAAAGCAGAUGUUCCUAGGGUUUUCCCCUUUACACAUAUAUAUAGUCCUAAGAAAGUAAGUCAAAAGCCAAAGCUAAACGCCAAACGCUAUUUUUCGCGAUCUGAGGUGUGACCGCAUUUUGGAAACGCGCGUUUGCGUUAGGUCUUCAUCUUCUUUGUUUCUGCAUCUCGCGUAGAUUCCAUCUCCGCUGUACCAGCCUCGCCGUUCCUCGCUGUCGUCUCUUCUCUCGCCACCGGAGUCGUCACGAACCGUCUGCGUCUUCUUCUUCUUUGCGCUGCAACAGAGGAGACGUCGACGUCGAACCGAGCACGUGGAAUCGAGAGCGCCACAUCGAGAAGUCUGGAUCGAGCACAUUGCUCGCUUAGGGCUUUACGAUUCAUGGUCUUCGCGCUGGGCUUCGAGGGUUCUGGAUCGAGCAAUACAGAUCGAGUCUAUCGAUCGCUUGGAAUUCAUGAGCUGAGGCCUUAGCCGAGACGACCGGAUCGAACUCGACGAAGCAGAGCCAGCAACCACUUCGUCUUCCUCGUUUCUCAAAAGCCACUUUUCUUUAUUUGCACGUUUGGUCCCUUGCUUUUUAUUCCUCUUUGAUUUUGACCCCGUAACUUUCAAAUGUGCAGAUUAAACCUCUGUUUUUGCUCCAAAACUCCUAAUCCUGCACUCCAGCCC